AAGGAUUUAAGUUAAAAAAAACUAUUAACCUUCAAAGUUAAAAAUAGAUUUUGUCUAAGCCUUA
This 64-nucleotide transfer RNA is filed under the name Platycorynus sp. N26. Its description in RNAcentral is "tRNA-Trp". The record is from RNAcentral. Lineage: Eukaryota; Metazoa; Arthropoda; Insecta; Coleoptera; Chrysomelidae.